AACGAGCGCUGGCGGCAGGCCUAACACAUGCAAGUCGAGCGCCCCGCAAGGGGAGCGGCGGACGGGUGAGUAACGCGUGGGAAUAUGCCCUUUGCUACGGAAUAGUCUCGGGAAACUGGGGGUAAUACCGUAUACGCCCUUUGGGGGAAAGAUUUAUCGGCGAAGGAUUAGCCCGCGUUGGAUUAGGUAGUUGGUGGGGUAAUGGCCUACCAAGCCGACGAUCCAUAGCUGGUUUGAGAGGAUGAUCAGCCACACUGGGACUGAGACACGGCCCAGACUCCUACGGGAGGCAGCAGUGGGGAAUCUUAGACAAUGGGGGCAACCCUGAUCUAGCCAUGCCGCGUGAGUGAUGAAGGCCUUAGGGUUGUAAAGCUCUUUCAGCUGGGAAGAUAAUGACGGUACCAGCAGAAGAAGCCCCGGCUAACUCCGUG
Molecule: ribosomal RNA, 431 nt
Filed under: uncultured bacterium
Lineage: Bacteria
Description: partial 16S ribosomal RNA
Rfam family: Bacterial small subunit ribosomal RNA
Source: RNAcentral